ACUGCUAUCGGGGUGGGACUAGAACAUGCGAGUCGAGCGUUUCUAGCUAUGUUGAGACGCGGCAUACGGCUCAGUAACACGUGGCUAACCUACCCUCAGGACGGGGACAAACCCGGGAAACUGGGGCUAAUAUCCGAUAGGCGAGGAAUCCUGGAAUGGUUCUUCACCCAAAGGACAUUGGAAACAUGCUUUCUCUGUCGCCGGGGGAUGGGGCCGCGACCGAUCAGGUUGUUGGUGAGGUAAUGGCUCACCAAGCCUAUAACCGGUACGGGCCGUGAGAGCGGUAGCCCGGAGAUGGGUACUGAGACAAGGACCCAGGCCCUACGGGGCGCAGCAGUCGCGAAAACUCCGCAAUGCACGAAAGUGUGACGGGGCUACCCCGAGUGCCGUCCGCUGAGGAUGGCUUUUCCUUGGUGUAACUAGCCGGGGGAAUAAGGAGAGGGCAAGACUGGUGUCAGCCGCCGCGGUAAUACCAGCUCUCCGAGUGGUAGGGAUGAUUAUUGGGCUUAAAGCGUCCGUAGCCGGCUUAGCAAGUCUCCUGUUAAAUUCAGCGACCUAAUCGUUGACCCGCGGGAGAUACUACUAGGCUAGGAGGCGGGAGAGGUCGACGGUACUUCUGGGGUAGGGGUGAAAUCCUAUAAUCCCGGGAGGACCACCAGUGGCGAAGGCUGUCGACUAGAACGCGCUCGACGGUGAGGGACGAAAGCUGGGGGAGCGAACCGGAUUAGAUACCCGGGUAGUCCCAGCUGUAAACGAUGCGGGCUAGGUGUUGGGGUGGCUACGUGCCACUUCAGUGCCGCAGGGAAGCCAUUAAGCCCGCCGCCUGGGGAGUACGGCCGCAAGGCUGAAACUUAAAGGAAUUGGCGGGGGAGCACCACAAGGCGUGAAG
This 889-nucleotide ribosomal RNA is filed under the name uncultured archaeon. RNAcentral describes it as "bacterial SSU rRNA". It matches the Rfam family "Archaeal small subunit ribosomal RNA", at positions 26 to 893 of the family's 1478-position model. The record is from RNAcentral.